GGGAGAGGAACCUAUAAUUGAACUGAUGGUGAUAGGUCUGAAUCAUCCAUGAACACCGGUAGAGGAUACUAUAAUGCUAAGAAGAAGGUGAAUCAGAAUCUAUUUUGUGAUCAUUGUAAGAUGCAUCGCCACGCUCAAAAGGUGUGUUUCAAACUGGUUUGAUAUCUAGAAGACUGGAAGUUUAAAAGGAAGCCAGCAGGGUAACAUAAUGAGCAAAACUUCACAAACUCGACUAGAGGUAUCAAUGUAACUAGAGGAAGAGGCAUUGCAAAUAAUGUACAGGUUUCUAGAGAAGAUGAGACUGCAGAUGUGUUUGGACUAGUUGAGAUAGGACAGAAGUCUACACAUGAUCCUUAUGACCUUAAUUCCAUUCGAACUAACCUACAGACACUUGCUGCACAACCAAACUUUACUUCAAAGCAAUAUCAGAAGAUAGUACAACUUCUAAAUAAAGAGGAGAAGGCUGCUGAGAUGGUCAACAUGGUAGGGAAUUCCUAUGGUAAAAUUCUUUCAGCAUCCACUAGAGGGAAGGAUUAUGUGGCUAUCAUGAAUGAUAGGAAUGACACACUAAAUAGUGGAAUAAUUGGAUAGUUGACUCUGUGGAAACAUGCCACAUGACUUCUCACCUUGAUAAAUUGGAUCAUAUCAAUUCAUCUGACAGAAACAUAGGUAAGAAAGUAUAUCUUCCUAAUGGGCAAACUACUUUAGUUACUCAUUCAGGUAGUUGUGUGAUACCAGCAGCAGGGGUAUUAGAAAAUGUUUUGGUGGUACAUGAUUUCAAAUACGACUUACUUUUAAUGGCUUAGCUGACUAGACAACUCAAAUGUUCUAUCCAUUUUGAUCCUGAAUUUUGUGUUUUUCAGGACCUCUUCAAUGGAGAAGUGAAGGGAAUUGGUAAGGAGGUAUAUGGGUUGUACUACUUUUCCAGUUAAUUCUCUUCUUCAAACACAACUGCUGAUGAUGAAAAGGUGGUGUUAAUGACAAAGAUAUGUGAAUCACAAUGCAUAGUAUGGCAUAAUAGAAUGGGUCAUCCAUCUAUAAGAACUUUAAGACAAUUGUCCUUAGUUAAGAAAGAGUCAUAUGUUAAAUUGUGUGAAAAUUGUCCGGUGUGUCCUUUUGCAAAACAAACAAGGCUUCCAUUUCCUGUAAAUGUGUCGAGAAUAGGUGAUAUCUUUGAUCUUAUUCAUCUUAAUGUAUGGGAACCAUAUAGAUUUUCUACACAUAAUGGUUUUAGAAUUUUUUUUCUCACCAUUGUGGAUGACAAUUCAAGAAUGACUUGGUUGUUUCUAAUAAAAUACAAAAGUGAUGUAUUUGGUGUUCUGAAAUCCUUCUUUUCAUUGGUUCAAAUCAAUUUGAUAAAUAAGUAAGAAGAAUUAGACCUGACAAUGAAACUGAGGUUUUUAAUAGAGAUUGCAAUUCAUUAUUCUCUUAUUUGGGUAUAAUACAGGAGAGCAGUUGUCCUCAUGCCCCUCAACAAAAUAGGGUGGCAGAGAGGAAACAUAGACACAUACUUGAGGUAGCAAGAGCUUUCAGGUUUCAGGGAUCCAUUCCUAUUAGAUUUUGGGGAGAAUGUGCAGAAACAGUUGUAUACUUGAUCAACAUAAUGCCUACUGAGGUGUUACAAGGCCAAUCACCUUACGAAAUCUUUCAUAAGGUUAAAUCAUCCCUUGAUCAUUUGAGAACCAUGGGUUGUUUAUGUUAUGCCACCAAAGUUGUGAAGGUUGAUAAGUUUUCCUCUAGAGCAGAUGCCUGUGUCAUGAUAGGGUAUUCACCAACUCAAAAGGGGGUACUUGUUGUAUAAUCUGAGCCUUCAAAAAAUUUAUAAUAAACAGGGAUGUUGUCUUCAAGGAGCAUGUAUUUCCAUUCAGCAAAAUGAAAGAUAAAUACUUGCCAAAUUUUGUUCAACAGAUAGAUAAACUUGGAUAUGAAGAGCUUCAGAAAAGAGUUAUUACUGAUAAUGAAGUUCCCACAAACGAUGCACUUGAUCAUCAGAAUAUUAUGAAUGACCUGAACCAAGAUGUUGAGAAUGAUUCCUUGGUGAAUCAAGAUGUUGUCAAUGAUCCAAUUGUUAUUAAUGAUUCCUUGGUGAGUCAAGAUAUUGUACAUGAAGUCAGGCCUAGAACCUCCUCAAGAGUAUCUCAUCCACCUGUUUGGAUGAAAGAAUAUGUGACUAUUAUGACAGCCUCCAUGCACCCUCAUUCCUUAGCCAACUAUGCAUCCUAACAAUCACUUAUCUCCCACAUACCAAGCAUAUUUGAGUGGAAUAUCCACUGACACAGAACCAAGUAGUUAUGAAGAAGCAAUCAAAGACCCCAGAUGGGUAGAAGCCAUGAAGCACGAAAUUAGUUCAUUGGAAGACAAUGGUACAUGGAGAGUAAUGAAGUUUCCUCCCAGAAAGAAUGACAUAGGGUGUAAAUGAGUUUUUAAGAUCAAGUAUAAGGCAAAUGGUGAAAUUGAUAGAUAUAAAGCCAGACUUGUAGCAAAAGGCUAUAGCCAGACUGACGGAAUUGAUUAUCAGGAGACUUUAUCACCAGUGGUAAAAAUGGUGACGGUUAGGACCAUUAUUGUUGUUGCAGCAGCAGAGAACUAGAUGAUUUAUCAAAUGGAUGUUUUUAAUGUAUUCUUGCAAGGAGAUUUGGUUGAAGAAGUGUACAUGGAUUUGCCUAAGGGAUUCAAUAAAAGGGAAUGUAGGCUUUUUAAGUCAUUAUAUGGACUUAAGCAGGCUUUAAGACAAUGGAAUGCAAAGUUGACUGAUGCAUUGUCUAAAUCAGGCUACAUUCAGAGUCAUCUGGAUUAUUCCUUGUUUACAAAAAGGAAAGGCACAUCAUUGGUGAUUGUACUUGUAUAUGUAGAUGAUUUGUUAAUCACAGGGAAUGACUCCACAUUGAUACAAGAAACCAAAUAGGUUCUGCACAAACAUUUCAAAAUCAAAGAUUUAGAUGAGCUGAGAAAUUUUCUGGGAAUAGAAUUUUGCAGAUCAGAGAAGGGAAUUGUUAUGAACCAAAGGAAAUAUGCUUUAGAGUUGGUGUCUGAAGCUGUUCUAGCAGGGGGAGACCUUCAUCUAUACCUUUGGAAUGUAUCAUGAAACUUACUAGUGCAGAGUUUUUUGAUUCUGAUGCAUUAUUCACUGAUAUAGCUAAAUAUCAAAGGUUGAUUGGGAAGUUGCUCUAUCUUACUAACACCAGACCUAACAUAGGUUUUUCAGUUCAGUGUCUGAGUCAAUUUAUGCAGAAGCCUACUAUGUCUCACUAGAAUACAACUCUGAAAGUAGUGAGAUAUAUCAAGGCUGCACCAGGUCUAGGACUACUUAUGAGUGCCGAGAAACAAACAAACCUUACUAGCUUUUGUGAUGCAGAUUGGGCUGCACGCCCCAACACAAGAAGGUCAGUGACUGGAUUUUUACUGAAGCUUUGAUAUCUUGGAAAUCAAAGAAGCAGAACACAGUUUUCAGGAGUUCUGCAGAAGCAGAAUAUAGAAGUUUGGUUACAUUGACUGCUGAGGUGGUUUGACUGACUAAAUUGUUUAAUGAAUUGGGGCUGAGCUUAGAUAAACUUGUCACCAUUCAUUGUUAUAGCAAAGACAGAUUUACAGAUAGCAGCAAAUCCCGUGUUUCAUGAGAGGACGAAGCACAUAGAAAUUGAUUGCCACUUUAUCUGGGAAAUGAUGCAACAGGGCUUGAUAAGAACAAGUUAUAUCAGCACCAAGGAUCAACAGGCUGAUUUGUUGACAAAGGCACUUGGGAGAACUCAAUAUGAUUUUCUACUUUCCAAGCUAGGUGUUUUGAAUAUCUUCAGUAGACCUAGCUUGAGGGGGAGUAUUGAAGAUGAAGGUUCAAGUAGUUAGUUAGGUUCACAAAGUUAGUUAAGGGUUAAUUAAUUGUACUUGUCAUCAUUAUAGUCGGUUAAGUUUGUUACACAAUUCUAGAAGAUUAGAAGUAGUUAGCAAGUAGUUAGUAACUAGUACAAUUGUAUAUAUAGGAGCUCUUUCUUUCUGUAAUCACAGUUUUAGUAUGCAAUACAAAAUUUCUCAAUUCUCUCUUCUCUCUUCCUAAAUUCAUCAUAUAUAUAUAUAUAUAUAUAUAUAUAUUCUAUUAUUAAAGUUACCUAAGUUUCAUAAGUGGUCCCUAAAUUAUAUUUCCUUAAAUCAAAACCAGACAAUUUAUUUUUAGCACAUAAAAAUCAUUAGACACUGACCAUUGUAUUCAAAAAUCACAAUGCUAAAAAAUUUUAAACUUGUGUAUUGUUAAGGGGAAUUUCAAUCUAUCUUAAUGAUGCUAAGGGAAUUGAAAAGCUUCUUUAAUGUAUCUAGGUUGGACACAAAUACAGUAAAAUCAAAUAUCUAUGGAGCGAAUAUGACAAGCCAAUGUGUAAAUAAUAUUUGUGAGUUGACUUGGUACCAAAAAGAGGCCUUACCUUUCAGAUAGAUAUCUCUCAAGAUAGAUAUACAUAAAUAUACAUAAUUUUUUCCGAAGUUAACGGAUGCACGUGUACACAAUCUAGAAGGGUGGGUCUGCCUCUAGCGAUGGGUGGAUCAUGUCUACGUGACACCCCAGAAAUUUUUUCGAACUAAGACUUGAACCAUCCUUCGUUGUGAGUAGGAUUUUUACCGAGCACGUCUCCGUCGACGUGCCUCUUUCAACGUGUUUUUUAAAAAUAAAAUUUAAAAAAUUAUUUCUUUUGUUCUUCUUUAAUUUAAUUAGUUUAUAAUUUUUUUUGAAAUAGAAUCCGUUUUAGCUAUAACUUUUAGUUUUAAAUUCAAAACUUAACGCUGAAGCGGGAAAAAAAGUAACUAACAACUUAAAUCAUGUUAAAAUUUAAUCAACUUGCUAAAUUCUACCUUUCUCUUAUUAUAUAAGAGACCGUUUGUGUUGAAGCAGACACGUCUCCGUCGACGUGCCUGCUUCAUCGUAUUUUUUUUUAAAAAAAAACUUAAAAUUUAUUUCUUUUUCUCUACUUUAAUUUAAUUAUUGUAUAAUUUUUUCGAAAUUAUGAAAUCAUUUUUAGCUAUGACUUUUAGUUUUAAAUUCAAGACUUCACGUUGAAGCAGGAUAAAAAGCAAUUAACUUAAAUCAUAUUAAAAUUUAUUCUACUUUCUAUAUUCUACCUAUGUCACAUAAAUUAAAUUAAAAAUAAAACUAAAAUAUUAGGCCCGUGCUAGCACGGGCACCUAUUUCUAGUAUAUAUAUAUAUAUAUAUAUAUAUAUAUAUAUGCGCAAGGACAAAGCCAUAAGUGUGUGAGGGCAUUUUUAUAUUAAUUUUAAUACGAUAUGUGGGACCUACAACGUGCUUUUCCUCAACCAUUUUUUUCUCGUUCCUGCUUUUCUCUUUCAUGUUUUGUUUCAUUUUCUAUCUUUUUAGUGGAGUAUCUAUUUUGAAACCAAUUUCAUUAUUACCUAAUUUUUAUUUUUGCUUAUCAUAAAAAUAAAAUUUUCUUUUGUCUUAUAUAUUUUAUUAAAUAAAAAAUAUAUUGUUUUUUUAAUAUUAUUGUAUCACUAAAUAAAUGCAUAAGAUAUUAAUAGUCAAACUUAAUAUUUUAAAACAUAAUUAAUAAAACAAAUUUAAUAAAAUAAACCUCUAACAAAAUACAAGUGAAUCUAUAUAUAAAAAGAAUUGUGAAAUACAUAUUAUUAAAUUAUAUAUUAAAUAUUUAAAUAUUAUUGGCAUAUAGAAAAUAUGAGUGUUACAACUAUAUUGUUGUUGUUGUUGUUAAUAAAAUAAACCUCUAACAAAAUACAGGUGAAUCUAUAUAUAAAAAGAAUUGUGAAAUACAUAUUAUUAAAUUAUAUAUUAAAUAUUUAAAUAUUAUUGGCAUAUAGAAAAUAUGAUUGUUGUUGUUGUUGUUAUUAUUAGGUAUUUGUCCAUAAAUUCUAAAUAUAUUUUUUGGUUGCAAUUGUUGGCAUUGAAGAUGAAGUUGUGUUGGUUAUAUAGUUUGUAAAGAAUAUUUAAAAUGAUGUUUUUUUAAUGUACUUAGGUAAAUUGUUAAAAGUAAAAAAUAGUCUAGAAAUAGAUUAUUAGAUGUUCAAGUUUUUUAAUAUAACUUCAAAUUGAAAAUAAAUUAUAUUUCAAAUUUUGAUGGCCAAACGUUGAUUUUAAAAUAAAUUGAAAUAUUAUUACGAAAAAAAUAAAUAUUUUUAUGUUCGAAUGGAUCCUAAAACUAGAAGUUGAAAAAUAUAUGAAACAUAAAGAUGAUUUUUUAAAGAAUGAUAAAUGAAAAAUAAAAGAAAAAGAAACAAAAAGAAUUUUAAUAGACAAUUUUCAAAAUAUAAAUAACCAUUCAAAUAAUUAAUUUCAAUUUUUUACGCUCACAACCUCUAAUUAUCUACAACAUGGGCUUGACACAUUUUAUAUAAAAUUAUCCAGCUCUAACUUAUAUAUUAAUCACAAAAAAUCCAUUGGAAAUUCACUAAUCGAAAAAGAACAACGGAUAAACUAAUCAGAUCGUCUAACUAAUUUGACACAGGUCUUCAGGAAGUUGAGAAUUUGGAUAGAGCAUUAGUAAUUCACAAGGACUAUCAAGGCUUACAUGGAGACAGCUUGGGAGGGCAGGAUGCUGUGGUGUUAGAUACGGUGGAGUUUGAGAAAGAGCCUCAUCUGCAUUUAGAAGAUGUUGAUAACAGAUACAGGUCAGACAAUAGUGAGGAGCUCCUUACUGGUUGCUCACCUGUCAAUCAAGAACAUAUGCACAAUGUUAGUAUGAUUAGUGCUGCUCAAAAUGCAAUAAUCAAGUUUUCAGGGGUAAUCAAACAAAGUUCUCCUAUCAAAGAACUUCAUGAUUUGGUUUCUCAUAAAAUUGUAGAUAAAGACAACACUUCAGUAGAGGUAACAAAUCAACAGCAAAAUGAUCUAGUAAUAAACAAGGAUGAAAAUGAAAACUACAGUGAUCAUGCACAGGUUGUAAAUAAUGCAGGAGGUUCCCCUCAAGGGAAAUCAAAGAAGAAGAAGACUAAAUCUCAAGGGGAUAAGCCUAUUAGGAUUAACCCUAUGAGGUCUGGUAGAGCUAUGUCAAAAUGAUCUUUAAAGCAUUAAUAUGGAAUAUUAGAUCAAUUAGAUCUAAACAUUCUUUCCAUAGAGUGCAAAUGCUUCAUAGACAUCACAAAUUUGAUUUGGUUGCCUUGAUGGAACCUUUUCAAGAGACUAGGCAGAUCCAACAGUAUAAAAGGAGACUAGGCAUGGCCUAUGCAAAUUAUAAUAUCAAUGGGAAGAUUUGGUUGUUUGUAAAGGAGGACAUUCAGGUGGAGGUUGUUUCAGAUUCUGAACAACAGUUGACUAUUAAGAUGUUAUUCCGUAGUGGAUAUCAGAUUGUUAGUACUCUUGUCUAUGCUAAGUGUACAACUGUUGAAAGAAUUCAAUUGUGGGAAGAUUUGUAUGUCAUUGGGCAAAAUAUGUAUUUCCCCUGGUGUGUUGGAGGGGAUUUUAAUAUUAUUAUGGAUGCCGAAGAAAAGAUAGGUGGUCUACCUGUCUAUCCUACUGAGGUGGAUGAUUUUGCAUUUUGUGUCAAUUCCUGUGAAUUAUUUGACAUUAAAUUCAAAGAUAGCCCUUUCACUUGGUGGAAUGGGAGGACGGAUGGUGAUUGUAUUUUUAAAAGAUUAGACAGGGUUGUAGGGAAUCAAGCAUUUUUGGAAGGGUUGGGUCAUGUGGAGUUAGAACAUCUAGCUAGGACAGGGUCAGAUCAUGCUCCUAUGUUGCUAUCUUGUGGAGUUAAAACUAUCCAGUUCCUCAAACCUUUUAGAUUCCUCAACUUUUGGUCUGAAAAGGAAGGGUUCAAAGACCUGAUUAGGCAAAAUUGGGUUGAUGAUCAUUCUGAUGAUGUGUUUGUUAAUUUAAAGCUCAAGAUGAAGAAGACUAAACUAGCUCUUUCUAAGUGGAGUAGAGAAAGUUUUGGGGAUAUUUUCAAACAAUUAGUUAUAAGGGAGGAUAUUCUGAAAAUCAAAGAAAAAUUGUUUGAGGAUGUUCCUUCUGAUGCUAAUAGAAUUAUCCUCAAUAGAGCUCAAGAAGAAUAUACAAAAUACUUGAAGUUUGAAGAGGAUUUCUGGACACAAAAGGCUGGGAUGCAAUGGUUCAUUGAAGGAGAUAGGAGCACUAAAUUCUUCCACAAUAUUGUAAGAGGAAGAAGAAGAUUAGAAAUAUCCAAAAUGCAUAAAGCUGAUGGUACAUGGGCUGAAGGAAGUGAAGUUGAGGGAGAGGCUGUAAAAUUCUUUCAAGAUCAAUUUUCCAGUGAUUUGCAGGAGUCUAGUCUACCCCUUGUGGAUUUAAUUCCCUCUUUGAUUAAGGAGGAAGAUAAUGCAAUGCUUAAUAGGAUUCCCUCUUCUGAGGAGGUUAGAAAGGUGGUCUUUGAACUUAAUGGAAAUAGUACAAGUGGACCUGAUGGUCUGACUGGACACUUCUAUCAAGUUUGCUGGGAUAUAGUAGGAGAUGAUGUUGUGAAGGUGGUACUUGCUUUUUUUGAUGGGAUGACUCUCCCUAAAUUCAUCACCCAUACCCACCUUGUGUUGAUUCCUAAGAAGGAGAAAGUGAUUUCAUUUGUUGAUCUAAGGCCUAUUAGUCUGAGAAACUUGAUUAAUAAUGUUAUUUCCAGAGUUGUUCAUGAUAGACUGGAAGUAUUCUUACCUACUCUUAUUUCUGCUAAUCAAUGUGGUUUUGUUAAAGGAAGAAGUAUUACAGAAAAUGUCCUACUUGCUCAGGAGAUUAUUGUGGAUAUCAGGAAGAAGAGUAAAACUACUAAUGUGGUGUUUAAACUUGACAUGGCUAAAGCAUAUGACAGGGUAGAUUAGAGCUUUUUGAUUAAAGUAUUGGAAAAAAUGGGCUUUAACACAGUAUUUAUUGAUAAAAUAUAGAGGCUGGUGGCCAACAAUUGGUAUUCUGUGUUGGUUAAUGGCCAAGCUUGUGGAUUUUUUCACUCAACUAGGGGUGUUAAACAAGGAGAUCCUUUAUCUCCUUCUUUAUUCAUUCUAACAGCUGAAGUCCUUACUAGGGCCCUUAAUAAUUUGUUCAGCUAUGCAGGGUAUCAAGGGUUUGGUCUUCCAAAGUGGAGUGAACAGAUUAAUCAUCUUGCCUAUGCUGAUGACACUAUCAUUUUUGCUAAGGCAGACAAAUUUUCUUUGAACUUGAUUAUGAGGACUUUACAAGAUUAUGAAUCCCAAUCUGGUAAAAAAUUCAAUAAAGAAAAGAGUGCAUAUUUUGUUUAUCACAAGGCAGCACAAAGUGACAUCCAGAUGAUAGAAGAGUGUAAUGGUUUUACCAAAGGUAAGUUCCCUCUAACUUAUCUUGGGUGCCCAAUUGGGCAUGGCAGGAAAAGGAAAACUCAAUUCUCUGAACUCAUUAAAAAGGUUCAAAACAAAAUUCAAGCUUGGAAAGGGAAGCUUCUGUCGUUUGAGGGUAAGUCUGUAUUGAUCACUAAUGUAUUACAGAGUGUUCCUAUAUAUCAGUCGUCUGCUAUCAUUCCUCCCAAAUGUGUCAUUCAUGAUCUUCAUAGAAUCUUUGCAAGAUUUCUAUGGAAUUUUAAGGAAGUAGGAAGAAAUAAACACUGGGUUUCCUGGAACAAUGUAUGCUUACCCAAAAAAGAAGGUGGUCUAGGAUUUAGAUCCUUAUUUGAUGUUUCAAGAGCUUUAUUUGCUAAACUAUGGUGGAAUUUUAGAACAAAAAAUACUAUGUGGUCCCAGUUUAUGUGGAAUAAAUACUGUAAAAGGCACAGACCACAAACAGUAGAGUGGAGAGGGGGUUCUCAAACCUGGAAAUAUAUGCUAGCUGCUAGAGAUUUUUUUGAUCAGGAAAUAUGGUGGCAACCAAAUGGUGGGCAUUCUAGUAUCAUGUUUGACAAUUGGACACAAUUAGGGGAUCUAUAUUACUACCUACCAGUGUCUAAUAAUAAUGAAUGGAUGCAUAGAGAUGUUGAUCAAUUAUUUCAUGAAGGGAGGUGGAAUGAAGAGCUCUUAAGGACCGUAUUCCCUGAGAAUGUUGUAAAUCAUAUUCUCAAUGAUAUUGAGAGAUUUCAGGAUUCAGAGGAAAGAGAUAUUCCUAGGUGGAUGUUAAACAACUCAGGGAAAUUCUCAAUGAAGUCUGCAUGGGACAAUAUCAGAAUCCCUGGAAUUGAGGAUGAUAGUUUUGCUAGGAUGUGAGAGAAGGGUGUACCUUUUAAAGUAUCUUUCUUUUUCUGGAGAUUAGCAAUGAAAAGGAUCCCUAUUGGUGAAGUCCUAGCCAGAUUUGAAACUGAGGAGGAGAUGGUGUGUUGCUGUUGUGAUCAGAUGGCUAAUGAAAGUUUUCAACACCUCUUUGUCUCCUGCCUUGCUGCUAAUCAAAUGUGGAGUAGUUUUACUAGAGCUGCUGGUGUAGAAGGUCCUUUUCUUCAGAUAAAGGACACAGUGUAUAAGUGGUGGAAUGCAACUUGUUCAGCUAAUCUUAGACCUCUAUUCAAUGCUAUACCUGGUCUAAUACUCUGGCAAAUUUGGAAAAAGAAGAAUAGAAUAAGACAUGGUGACAAAAUGAAUGUGCAAGGAAUGAUAAAUGGAAGUAAACAAGAACCUGCACAUGUUAGCUGUUUUUAGAUACCCUUGGCUGAGGAAUAUCCCUGAGGAUUGGCCAAAUUUGGUGCAUUUCUUUGAAGGAUAUAAACCAAUCUUAGUUCCUAAGGUCAUUCAUUGGAAACCUCCUAUGGAGGGGACCUAUAAAUGUAACUCAGAUGGAGUUUCUAAAGGAAAUCUUGGACAAAGUGCUGGUGGGUUUUGCAUCAGGGAUUGGAAAGGUGAAUUUAUAUUUGCUGCAACCUAUGAUCUUGGCAAAAGAACAGGUUUGCAGGCUGAAACUAGUGCCAUGGAGAAAGGUUUAAAUUAUUGUGUUACACAUAAUUUACUUCCUGUGUGUUUAGAGACGGAUUCACUGGUUUUGACCAAGAUUUUAAAUGGGGUAUUGGAGGUCCCUUGGAGCAUUAAAAUUCAGAUUCAGAAGAUUGAAUUUUUGAGAAACAAUAGGGAGGUUGCAGUGCUACAUACGCUCAGGGAAGGCAACAAAGUGGCAGACUACUUCACUAACUUUAUUUUUUCUUUUGCAGGUACAUAAAAUAAAACUUUCCAAUCAAUUCAAGAUGUACCAAAGGAAGGAAAAUCCUUAGUACUCAUGGAUGCAAAUCAGAUUCCAAACAUUUGAAUUACUAAAAUGCAAAAUAAACUCUAUGGUUUGUAGUUUCGAACUAUAAUCUUUGCACAAAAUGAAAUGCAAUUGCAGUAUAAGUCAAGCAGAGGAGAGAAAGGAAAUACCUAACAAAUAUACAUAGACUUUAGAUCCUAGCUUCUUAGACAGUGGUAUCAGUUCCCUCGGAGCUCAAUCUGUCAAGAGGCGAAGAUCUAAGGAAAAUGGUUUUCUACAAGGCACUGAUAUCUGGAGAAAGCUCCAAAGAAGAUAGAUCUGUACAGCAAUGUAAGGGCAAUGAAUAACAAUGUGAUAUUGAGAUUCUUGUUGAAUAAUCGAUAGGGAUGUGGGGGUUACCUCUCACACAGGAAAGGGACCAAUGUUUUGAGCUGAAGAAGUCUUCAACGGACAAGAAUACAUGGCGUUAGUGAGAUUUUUAACGUCUUGAUGUACUCUAUCCAAGCUCGAUGAUAUGAGUCUCUAGUUCCACAGUGAGUAAGGUCUAACUCCUAUCUCAUCAUUUGCACAAGGAUCUUUGAUGUAGGUCCACCAUAGCUGCCGGAGUCGAGAAGAGGUUGACGGAGGUCCACCAUUGAUGACGGAAGAUUUAGAGACAGUGGUGUCUUGACUAUAGGAGGGUUUUGUCUUUCCCCUUUUUAUUUGUUUUUUGUUUCCAUUUCUUGUUUCAGAUUUUGGAUUAGGCGUUUUGGGAC
This 11833-nucleotide long non-coding RNA is filed under the name Solanum tuberosum (potato). RNAcentral describes it as "long non-coding RNA (STUB_LNC010708)". Lineage: Eukaryota; Viridiplantae; Streptophyta; Magnoliopsida; Solanales; Solanaceae. The record is from RNAcentral.